UGUCUGGUCAUCUGUAAGCAUUUGGGCUAAAUAAAGCUCUGUGUUAGAAUAUUAGUGAUUUGCUUACUUUUUCUACUUUAACUGACGUGGGUUGUUUACAAACAUCCAGCAAAUCUUUCCCUUUUUGUCAGCCGGCUGUGGGUGGUGUAAUUCCUGCGUGCCUAAUUCUAAUAUAUGGGUUGAUUGCCUUUAGUUCAUUGGCUGAAUAAUCUGACCUGGGACUAUAUGUAGGCCAGGUGGCUGUUACCUGGGACACACCCUCUGUGGUUCCCACCCCCCUUCCUCGGCGUGCUGCUGGGCGAGGUCUGCAGUUUGGCGUUUGGUGUGGCUGGGUGAAUGCUCUCCUUUGUCUUGGGAAUUCUCCCAAGCGUGCGUGCUGAGGCAUUUGUGAGGAGAUUGCUCCGGUGGUUUAUGCCACGUGCAAAGGUUUCCGUCUGUGUGUGAAGCUACGAGAAGUGUUGUGACUUUCCCGCUGUCUGCCGUGGAGAAGUGAAGCCUUGGAAGCUGGGGUGGUGGAGUACGGGGAGUGUCCAAUACAGCUCUACCCGUGUGUGUGUGAGAUCACCUGUGUCCCCCUCUUCGCGGAGGCUCCUCCCCCUGCAUUAGUGCUUUUUUUUUUUUUUUUUUAGGCUUUGUGGUUCUUUUCUAUUUUUCCCUUUGCUUAUUUUUGUUAUAUUUUGUGUUAAUUGUUUUGUAUGUCCAGACUCAAUCCUGGUGUGUGUGCUGCCUCCGGUGAGCUGUAGCGGACUGGUUUGCUUUUUUUUUUUUUCUGAACGCGCGCUGCAUGUGACUCAGCGCGCUGUGUGUGUGUGUGUCUGUGUAUGUGUUACUAUACUUCCUGGGUCCUGAGUUGCGCGCUGCUGCGGGAGGGAAAGCCUGUAUGGUCAGUAAGCGUGAUUUAUUUCUUUAUGUUGCCGGGCUGUGUAUGGUUUAGUUGUGUUGGUAUAAUUGUUUAUUUGAGUUAAUUUGUUUUUGUUUUCUUUUGUGUCCGAACAGGAGCUGGAAGCGGUGACAGGCUGCUGAGGUGUUGAAGUCUAACUGGGUGUGCUUAGUGGUGUUUGUGUGCUGUGUAGUGGGGACUCCUCUCACCUGCAGUUAGCACUGGUCACAGUGUGCUCCAGCCCUGUUCAGGUUUUGUUUUUGAUUUUUAGUGUUUGUGUUUCUUUUUGUAUUUAUUUAUUGAUUUAUUGGUUUUGUUUUUUUGUAAUAUUUGAUAUUUAUUAAAAGUUAUAUUUUUAAGUAA
Molecule: long non-coding RNA, 1243 nt
Organism: Astyanax mexicanus (Mexican tetra)
Lineage: Eukaryota; Metazoa; Chordata; Actinopteri; Characiformes; Acestrorhamphidae
Exons: 3
Source: RefSeq, a predicted model, not a curated record